GACGAACGCUGGCGGCGUGCUUAACACAUGCAAGUCGAACGGAAAGGCCCUGCUUUUGUGGGGUGCUCGAGUGGCGAACGGGUGAGUAACACGUGAGUAACCUGCCCUUGACUUUGGGAUAACUUCAGGAAACUGGGGCUAAUACCGGAUAGGAGCUCCUGCUGCAUGGGGGGGGUUGGAAAGUUUCGGCGGUGGGGGAUGGACUCGCGGCUUAUCAGCUUGUUGGUGGGGUAGUGGCUUACCAAGGCUUUGACGGGUAGCCGGCCUGGGAGGGUGACCGGCCACAUUGGGACUGAGAUACGGCCCAGACUCCUACGGGAGGCAGCAGGGGGGAAUAUUGCACAGUGGGCGGAAGCCUGAUGCAGCAACGCCGCGUGCGGGAUGACGGCCUUCGGGUUGUAAACCGCUUUCGCCUGUGACGAAGCGUGAGUGACGGUAAUGGGUAAAGAAGCACCGGCUAACUACGUG
Molecule: ribosomal RNA, 468 nt
Filed under: uncultured bacterium
Lineage: Bacteria
Description: partial 16S ribosomal RNA
Rfam family: Bacterial small subunit ribosomal RNA
Source: RNAcentral